UUUCCGUAGGUGAACCUGCGGAAGGAUCAUUAUCGUAGGGCUUCGGUCCUGUCGAGAUAGCGUCCUUGCCUAUUUUUUGGAGUACCUUUUCGUUUCCUCGGCAGGCUUGCCUGCCAACGGGGACCCACCACAAACCCAUUGCAGUACAAGAAGUACACGUCUGAACAAAACAAAACAAACUAUUUACAACUUUCAACAACGGAUCUCUUGGUUCUGGCAUCGAUGAAGAACGCAGC
Molecule: unclassified non-coding RNA, 236 nt
Filed under: uncultured fungus
Lineage: Eukaryota; Fungi
Description: sequence contains ITS1, 5.8S rRNA gene
Rfam family: 5.8S ribosomal RNA (bases 188-236)
Source: RNAcentral